AUUGAACGCUGGCGGCAGGCCUAACACAUGCAAGUCGAACGAGUGGCGGACGGGUGAGUAAUGUCUGGGAAACUGCCUGAUUGAGGGGGAUAACUACUGGAAACGGUAGCUAAUACCGCAUACCAUCGGAUGUUCCCAUCUGGGAUUAGCUAGUAGGUGGGGUAAAGGCUCACCUAGGCGACGAUCCCUAGCUGGUCUGAGAGGAUGAUCAGCCAACCUGGAACUGAGACACGGUCCAGACUCCUACGGGAGUCAGCAGUGGGGAAUAUUGCACAAUGGGCGAAAGCCUGAUACAGCCAUGCCGCGUGUAUGAAGAAGGCCUUCGGGUUGUAAAGUACUUUCAGCGUGGAGGCGUUACCCGCAGAAGAAGCACCGGCUAACUCCGUGCCAGCAGCCGCGGUAAUAC
Molecule: ribosomal RNA, 406 nt
Filed under: uncultured bacterium
Lineage: Bacteria
Description: partial 16S ribosomal RNA
Rfam family: Bacterial small subunit ribosomal RNA
Source: RNAcentral